This is a long non-coding RNA of Astatotilapia calliptera (eastern happy), 722 nucleotides long. The record is from Ensembl. NCBI's taxonomy places the organism in Eukaryota, Metazoa, Chordata, Actinopteri, Cichliformes, Cichlidae.
UGUGUUUUUGACAAGUGCUCCAGCCCGGAGAUGGCUGCCCAUCGUAUGUUCUCUCUGAGAACAUACGAUGGGCAGAAGGAGUAUGGCUGAUUUCUCCAUGGAGUUCUGGACCCUGGUAGAGGAGACGGGCUGGAAAGAGAAGGUGCUUAGAGGAGCUUUCCUGAACGGCCUCAAUGAAAGGAUAACACGCAGACCUUAAUCAAGCAUUCGCAGUUGAGGUGGAUGCCUCGGACUCUGGUGUGGGGGCGGUCCUCUCGCAGCGAUUUGAAGGCCAGGCUCACGCAACACUGAACCCGACGUCCUCUCAUGUCAAUUCUCACUGGUGGAGGAUGCAGAGGAAAAGGACAAACCCAUUCUUCCUGCUUCCUGUAUCAUCGGGACAGUCACCUGGGAGAUCGAGAGGCUAGUCAUAAAUGCCCUGCAGCAGGAUCCAGACCCUGGGUCAGGGCAGGCAGUACGUCCCUGUGGUUGUUCGGGGCAAGGUGAUCCACUAGGCACAUACGGCAAAGUUCUCCUGCCAUCUGGAUCGGAAUCUCACACUUAGAUUCCUCCAACGUCUAUAUUGGUGGCCUUCCCUUGCCAAGGACGUCCGGGAAUAUGCGACGGCCUUGGCCAAUUUGUGCUCAAAACAAGGCACCAAGCUCUCAGCUGUUGGGCCACCUGCGACCACUCCCAUGGCUCAUGGUUGCACAUUGCCGUGGAUAUUGUCACUGGACUGCCGC